UAAGUCUCGCCCUUCUUCUCUGUGUCUGCAGCAGUGUUGUGGGUGUAGUGACAUGCCGACAUGAAGGGAAAAGCGCCACUUUAUGCAGCAUGAGUCUGUGUAGUUCAAUACGGGAAAAGUACUGAAUAUAAGUUUGCAACAUAUCGUCCUGCAGUAUAGUUUCACCGUUUAUCAACAGGAGGGCUGCCUUCUUCUCUCCAGCUCCUCUCCUAUUGGUCAAUAUACAGGAAGGAGGAGGAUCCAUGUGCAGGCCGAGGGUGUGUCCCAAUUCAGGGGCUGGAUCCUUCCAAGUGCCUAAUUGUGGGCUAAUUACAUCACAGCACGGCGCGUAAGGUCUGUCAGAUGCUGCCGACAAAUGUGUCCUUCUUUUGCCCGAUUUGAAGGAUGACUUGUGAGUAUCCUUCGCGGUCCAUCUUUUCCCAUGAUUCAUUGCGGGUCGAAGCGGUUUGGUCAAAUAGGGGCAGCAUUGGCGGACCACACUAGCAAAAGCUGGACAAAGGAGCAGACGGGUCAGUAAUGGUGUGGGGUGGCAUCUCUUUCCGUGUGCUCGCC
Long non-coding RNA from Girardinichthys multiradiatus, 552 nucleotides. RefSeq lists it as uncharacterized. The record is from RefSeq and is a predicted model, not a curated record. The transcript is spliced from 3 exons. Lineage: Eukaryota; Metazoa; Chordata; Actinopteri; Cyprinodontiformes; Goodeidae.